This 7077-nucleotide unclassified non-coding RNA is filed under the name Leishmania donovani. RNAcentral's name for it is "gene:LdHU3.19.0590(CDS-product:hypothetical_prote in_conserved)". Lineage: Eukaryota; Euglenozoa; Kinetoplastea; Trypanosomatida; Trypanosomatidae. The record is from RNAcentral.
GUGCGGCACCAUCGUACGCAUCUUAUUCCCGUCCGAGAACACGCGCGCGCAUGCAAGGCACCACGGCAACCCCGUGCGUCGACCUCUGCCCGUCCCUCUCCCUCUCGCACAUUUGAUGUGAGGAGACAAAAUCCACAGACAAGAAAAGAAGCGCGGCUUGCGCGAUAAACUGCAACGGGUGCGUCGCGCGCUGUCCCUCGCCCCCACCGAUCAUAGCUGGUCUUGCUUUCCCUGUUCCUGUGCGCCUUGGCUGUUGGCCGAGUGCGUCUCUAGCACCCCGUUUUUGAUUCUGUGCACGGCCGAACGUUGUGAGCUGCGGCGCCUCUCUGCUGGAGUGACUCACAUGGCCGCUGAUUUUGUUCCGCGGCCACUCGACUCAUUUCAUUGUCCUUGUCGCGCUGCCCCGGCCUUGACAUCUUUCCCUUCGCUUGUUCUCGGGUCGCCGGCUCCAUUGGUUGACUCUAUCCUGUGCGCGUGAGUGUGUCGGCGCGUUGGUGCGCAUUGCUGUUUUUCUUCGGCACCCUCAUCCCCCGCGUGUGCAGAACCCCGCCGCCACACAGCUUCCUCCACGCUCCUCCCUCUCCUCUUCCUCAUACCCAGAGACGGAGAGCGAGACGCGGACGAGCGGCAGCCCAGCAUUGUGUGUGUGUGUGCGUGUGCGUGUGUGGGGGGGGGGAGGUGUGAUCGAAGGUGCGCCAGCCCGACCGCGGCGCCCUCACUUUUGCGCACCUGCCCCGGAGAGAGCGACGAGCGAGCGAGAAAGACAGGCUCGCGAGGCAAAGCCAGUUGCUUUGCCUCGCUGCCCCCCUCCGCCCCAUACACGCCGACGACACACACGGAUCAACCAUUCGAAGCAAGUGCCCAGACACGAACGAUACGCGCAGUAAAGGUCGCGGAUGGACUUCAUGCCUGCGGAGCACACGACUCCGCCGUCCUCGGCGCCACGGUUACCGGGUGGUGCCAGGAGUGGCCUCACUCCAGCCUACCUCGGGGCCUUGCGCGGCGUUUCCUCGCCACCGCCGCAGCGGCCGCGUCUUUUUGCGCGCGCGAGUGUCGGACGCGGGUCGCCUCCGCCGCCGGCUCGGUUGGCGGCGAUCUCGUUGUCAACGCCAUGCGUGCCGCUGCCCAAGCGAUCCCCUUCGGAGAGCGUACCCCGCAGCUCUGUAUGUGAUAGCUUCAAUCGCGAAGAGCGCGGUCUGCCCGGCGCGUGGUCGAUUGCGUGUGGCAAACCCGCUGGCGCACGUCCGCCGUUGGCUGUGUCGCUCUCUGCCUAUGAAGGCUUGUUGCCGCGCGUGGGUGAUGGGAUUUUCGGCACCUGCGUGGCCGACCUCAACUCGGCACCGUCGUCCGCUCGCGUAGAGCCACUGCUCAGUUGCAAAAUGGGCCCCGCUGGCGCGCUACACACACACGCGGCGAACGGCUACAAUAGUGUGGCCAGUGAGGGGACGGCGGCGGACGACAGCAUCAGCUCCGCUGCCGGCGUCACAGAGUUGUUGAGUGCCGCGGAAAGCACCGCCGCGGUGCCGCUCAUGCACAGUAUUGGGAGAACCAAGCGCCACCGCAUGGCCAGCUCCGCCGACACGCAGCACAGCUUGGCAAGCAGCACGCUGCCGCCCCCGCGUUGCCAUCGUACUUCCGGCCAUGGCAGCGUCGACGCGGAGUCGGCUCCUCAGCGUGAUGUCUGCUUCGGCGCGUCCAUGACGGGCGCUCUGCCGUCCUCGGAGGGACUUUACCUGUCCGAUGGCCACGACGAGGAUGCGGAUGGCGCGCCGAGGCGCUGCGGUAGCGGCAGCAAUAGCAGCCGUGGCGAAGUUAGCUACCGCGCAUCGUCGAUUCGCGCCAGUGUCGCGGGCGUGCCUGGGAAGCUCGACAUGAUCACGCCACAGGCAGGCCAGCGCGCGUUUGACGACUCCGCGGCGGGUGCGCAGUGCCUAGUCAUCGAGGACAGCGUUGACACGGACGCGGUGGUCACACCUGCCCAGCUGCAGCAGAUGAAGGCCGAGGCAGCCGGAGGUGGCGUGCAUCGGCGCACCUCGGACGAGCUAUCGACGCUCUAUGAGAGUCGGCUCGUCACCGCUGACGUGCUGCGCGACUGGACGGGCUGGGAGGAUCUUGACCUGGUGCUUACCGCGCAACUCCGUGUGGAUGCGGACGCCAUGAUCGGCGUUGACCAGAUUGGGGCACAGUUGUCGUCGCUUUCAUCGCUGAAGCUCAACGGCUCACGCAUUUGCCGUGUACGCCAGCUCGGCACCGGCUUCCACGCGUUGAAGUAUCUGUGGCUGAACAGUUGCCACGUCACGGAUUUGUGCGGCAUCGCGGCGUGCUGCCCCUCACUGGUGGAGCUUUAUGUCCCCUUCAACCGCGUGCGCGAUGCCACUCCGGUAAUGGCGCUGUCCGCGACGCUAGAAGUUCUGGACGUGGAGGGCAAUCUGCUCGACGACGCAACAGACCUUGGCGCUGUCCUCGCUUCCUUGCGUGGGGUGCGUGCGCUGUCCAUACUUGGGAAUCCGCUCACGUGCGAGUACCAAGCGCGUGUGCGAGACGCAUAUCGGGAUUUGCUCGUCGAGGGGGGACGCAGGGCGUGCGCGAAUACGGCGGCGUCUGGCGACGUGCUCUCCCCAGUGCCGCCGCCGAGUGAGUACAAGCCCUUCUCGCACGUUCUUGCAGCCUGGGUGCGUCUGCUUAUGCCGCAGCUGGAGACGCUCAAUGAUGCUGCCAUCGACGUCUCCAUCACCAGCUCCUGCGCCUCGUUCCCUCUGCACGGUUCAUCGUCAGAGGAGGCGAGCCGACGGCUCGCAAUGCCGGUUUCGACUCACGUGGACCCGCUGGAUGACGCCUUGGCCGAGGAGCUUCGACUGGUAGAGGAGUGCGUGCGGGACGCCGACGCUUUCGACGCUCUUCUCGCUGCCCUCGAUGAGGCGAACCGGCACGUCUACACGCGCCCCUCCACCUCGUGCAGUGGUGCGCAGCCGCGUCUUGCCCCGAGGACCGCCAUGGGGGCUGCUCGCCCCUUCACCUCACGGUGGUCUAGGGCACCCGUCCGACUCGGUUCUUGUGGAGGCUCGACGACUGACGCAUCAGUGCUCACGACAGGGGCGGUACUAGCUGGCAAUGCGACCGCGAGCCUGAGACGCCGACUAGCGGCGUCGUCAAUGUCAUUCAACGACGCAGCGCAGGACGACCCGUCUGCCACCAACGGCUCUGCUGCCGACCCCGCUGGAUGCAAAGGCACGAGUGUGCAACGGAGUGGCAUCUGUGAAAAGGACUCAGGGUACUGUGCCUCUGUGACUGCCACCUCCGCCAUCGACCUGGAUGAGGAUGCUCGCAUCGCCGCGCUGCUGGCCGAUGACAGCGAAGAAGAGGAGUGGGAACACUUCAAGGCGUCGCUGCUUCGGUCGAAAUCCACGUCGGCAGCGUCCAUGCCGAGACUGGGCGACCCCAUGAGCACAUCAGCGGCGGCAGCGGCCUCCUACCAUCAGCUUCUCUACACACAGAACGAAGAAGCUGCCGCGACGGCAAGCACGGUGCAGGCUGACGGCUUCGAAAAGGAGCUACGCACGGAGCUGACGCGUCUACGGAUGCGGAUAGCGAAGGAGAGUCGAGAAUAAGGCCAUGCUGCAGACCAUUCGUUUUCUUUGUAUUAUCACUUCAGAGCCUGUGUAUGCCCGCCCCCCCCUCCCCCUCCUCCUCCGCCUGGGACUGUCUUUACUGUUAGGAACAACGGCGGGUACGCCGUCAGUCCAGUUGGAUCCUUCACCGAUGUCCUCGCUCCGUCUUUUUUUGUUUGCGUUUCUGCCGUCGUCCCCGUGUGUGUGUGUGUGCUUACGUUGGCUCUUCCCCCUUCUUUGUUUUGUCUGCCCAUUGUCGUUGUGCUUGAACGCAUCUCCCCCUCCUUGUUUUGGCUUUGCACGACGUUGAACAAAUGGAACCAUCUUCCUCUCCAUCUUGCCCGUGAUGAGAUGCUCAUGUACAUACAGAGAGCGAACCGUGUGGCCCCCUCCCCCCACCCCACCUCCACACAAGAGAGAACUCACAGAAGCUUUUGUAUUCUUAUUGGAAGUCCUUUCUUCUUUUCUUUGGACCCACCCCCCUUCUCCUCUCCCCCUCCACCUUUUCUUAUGCCCUGUUGGGCAGCAACAUCAAUGCACAUACACACAUGCACACGCAAAAAAGUUUUCGUGUUUCUCGACGUUGAACCGACUUUCUCUCUUGUUUUUUUUUUCGGCCUCCCCUCCUCCCCCUCUUUCUGUGAUCAUCAUCUUCGCUCUUUAGACACGUUGUUGCUGCUGUUGUUGUUGCGUGCUGUGUGUCGUGCGUGGCGCUUCUUUCCUUUUUGUCUGUGUGUCUUGGCCGCCCUUCCCUCUCGCCCCUUCGUGGUCCGAAAUAUUUCCUUUCCCUACCGUGCAAGUAUGCGUGUGCGUUUUCAAAAGAGGCGAGUUGGCUGUCCGACGACACUGCGAGCUACCGUAGCGUCUCCGCCAUACACUCCACCCCACGCCCUACUCUCCCGCUCUUGCUCUCGUUCGGGGAUUUUUCUUCGUCCCUCAGUGGCUACACCUGCACACUGGAAGGGGACGUCCGUGACAUCUCCCUCCAUCCCCAUUGCAAUGCUGCAUGCUUAUCCUUCCGCGCACGCAGCGGCUUCUCUCUAUGUAGAGGAGCAGCUGUUUAGCGCCGCAUCAAUGGCCCCGUCAUACCCCUCCCAAGCGCGGUUCAUGGCAAUGCCGACGGGAAAGGGAGGAGAGGGAGCGCAAGGACCACCGGCUUCUCCUUCGACGAGCGCGCGCACACAUACAUGCACACCUACACAUCUAUCUAGACUGGUGUUUCGGGCCCCAGUUCCGCUAUAAACAUGUUAUUUUGCCGCAGCACUUUCGCUUCACCGACCUCUUUAUGUGUUUUGAAGUCUUUGUUAGCCUUGCCUUUACUUCAUUUUGCUUUUCCGUUUCGUGUGCGUGAGUUGGAUCACCCUUUCCCGAUGCUGCUGCGACUGCUCCGGCCACCUUCCUGUGGCUCUCGUAUCUCGUUGUAUUGCUUUAGAAAGUGUUGCGGGUGCUCCGUCGUCUGAGACGUGACGUGCUGCUAUCUUGUUUGGUAAGGGUGACCUCGCGAUGCCGGUUUUUUUUUUCCAUUUCCCGUGUUGGCGCGUGCGCACAGCUAUUCAUUCUAUAAUGGCAGACGGUUUGGACUUCCACGCACACUAUCGCUAGUCCCACUGGCUGAGUAAGGCUCGGUGACGAGUUCUCGAGUACAGACGAGUUGAGGCGUGACAUGCGUGCCUUCUCUGCUGCUCAAUCGUGCCCGCAUCUCCUGUUCUCUUGCCCUCUCUCGUUCCUUUUUUUUCUUGCACAUUGCUCCAGCUCUGCUUCCUCCAUUCGGAUAGGCAACGCGUGUGGCAGUGCUCCCAUCGGGGGAUGGGGCCGGGGACGAAGGCGAGCGGGAGGCAGAGGAGACGGCGAAAGGGCGAGCGAGAAAGUCUUCUACGUGCGCAUCUAGGGUGCGCGCCCGCCUCUUACUCCACCCGUCGCCGCCUCUUUCUCUUCCAUCACCGCCUCGCCACCCUCCACCACUCCCUUCUGUCUUUCUCUUUCCAGUAGUUGGGUUGAUCUCCAAGUCCCUCUCUACCAAUGUCUCCAACCCGUCCUUUCCCCAUUUUUUUUCUCGAGAUCUCCAAGUUACGCUAUGUGUGUGUGUAGAGUCUGUGGCACCUUCGCUUCCUGUAUCGUGCCUCUCGACCCUCUCUCUUUCCUUCCUCCUCGGCCUCUGAGUGUAUGUGCUUCUUCUUUUAGGGUGUAGGUUGUUUGUACAUGUGUAUGGCAUGUCUUUGUAUGCCUGUGUCUGCAUGUGUGUGUAUUGUGUGCCAUCCCGUGCGCGUGUGUAUGGGUGUGCCGGAUAGUGGCUGAGCCUCUCUCUCGUCCUUCUUUCCGAAUGCCCUUCAUGCUAUCAUGGGCCCCUCUCUGUGUUUUCGAUCCCCGACUAGCCUCUCUCUCCCCUCUCCACGUCUUCUGUUGUCGCUGCAUGCGCAUGUGUGCGCGUGUUGGCCGCCACUGGCGUGGUGCUGCACGAUUCGGUGCGAGUGCCGUUCCUGCCAACACGCACGCACAUGCACGCAUCCUUUUAUACACGCGCCCCUUUUUGUACUGGCCUGUUCAUGCCUGCCUUCACCCCUCCCUCCCUCCUCAUGCUUGUUUGCCCGGACGGCAUCUGGAAACGCCUCAGUGGGCGGUGCCCAGGGUCCGCGGCCCACUCUGUGUGGGGAAGCCGGACAGCCCCUCUCCCCUCUUAUCCCUCCCAGCGCCGAGCCACACCUGGCGGUGGCGGGACCAAGCACCGAAGGCUUUGUGGAUUCAGUGCGGUGCGUCGCUACUGCCGUCGGCGGCGAGGUCGCGGACGGCGUUGCGUCGGAGCGGACUGCGACCGUGCACGCGCUUGUGCCAUGGACAUGCUAGUCAGCGUGUGAAGGUGGCUCGGACGUAUGGCGCCCGCGGCCCUGACUGGGUAGUUGUGGGGAGCCUGCGCCACCCGGAGGGAUGCACGAGGCGGUGACCCGCCUAAUGGGAGGCGGCUGUGGGGCGGCCUGCGGAGCCGGUGGGGGUGGGGGGCCGGGUGUGUGUAUGGGGGAUUAGGUUGGUGUUGUAUGGCAGUACAAUAGACAGACGUUGGAAAAGAAAACCACGGUCGAGUCCCUGCGCCUUCUCGUUCCUCUUGUGUUUCUCUUGAGCGAGUGUAUGUUUUUUUUCGUCGUCACGAUGCCAUCAGUGUAUCAUGUUUCGCACCAUGACCACCCGCUCCUCUUGCCCGUCUCAUUCGGUGUGCCGGUAUUGCUCGGCGUCAGCGCACGCCUGUGAGGGAAGUCCACCACAUAUGAUACUCCAAUCCAGGGCAGGGUGUGCUUGUAGUUUCAAGCUGGCCAGAAGGAAAAAGGGAGGGAUAUCAUGAUUGUGUAUCGACAGCGGAGGAGGAGCCCCUUGCCCGUUUAUAAGGCAAAGUCCACACGAGAAGAGAGCGCUGCCUCGCCGUCGAGCAUGCCGCACGACGCCCGCUGUCGUGUCGUUGUUGCCCCGCCUCGUACAAGCA